Molecule: long non-coding RNA, 675 nt
Filed under: Triticum aestivum (bread wheat)
Lineage: Eukaryota; Viridiplantae; Streptophyta; Magnoliopsida; Poales; Poaceae
Description: long non-coding RNA (TAES_LNC020365)
Source: RNAcentral
CGCCUGAGAGGUGGUUGUGCGGUGCCAGGUAGGCACACACGCACUUUCUGAUUUGUUUUUAGCAAUUUGUGUAGCACAGCUGCAUUCAAACAAUGAGAGCCUCUUGAAUGUACAUGCAACUGAUGAUAUACUUUAUGUAUCUGAUGACAUGAUACAUUCUAUGAUCCAACUAACGCCCGAUGUGGUCAGCUCGUGCUAGAGAUGGCACCGGCGGUGGUGGGGGUCUUCUGUUGCGUGGUCUUCUCAGCAAGCGGCUUCCCUGCUUCUCCACCAACACCUUGUGUAGGUUGAACAGGGACAAGAUGUGGUUGUGCUUCCUCCUAACAAUCUCCAUCUUCCAGUUCUAAAACUUCUCCUCCAUCGCGAUCUUCUCGCCAACGGCCUUGGUCGCCGCCGCCACUACCGCUAGCGCGUCGUUCAGAGACCUUGUCAGCGGCCUUGCUGUCCAUCUCCUGCAGGACAUGCUCUUUCCACUACAUUCAGUCGGCGGUGUGUACAAGUCCUUCCUGUUCUUUAUGAUGGCCAUAGGUUGAACCGGCUGCAGCAUCUGUAGCCACCCGAGGCUGAUCAUUGGGUUUUUAAAUUAGUUUGGAGGUUCCUAGCCGUGGUCAUGCGGAUAAGCUCUAUGCUCACCGCAGAUGAUGUACUCUGGAGGUUCCUAGCCGUGGUCAUGCG